RNAcentral lists this transfer RNA (71 nucleotides) under Lachnospira eligens. RNAcentral describes it as "[Eubacterium] eligens tRNA-Thr". It matches the Rfam family "tRNA". Rfam says of the family: Transfer RNA (tRNA) molecules are approximately 80 nucleotides in length. Their secondary structure includes four short double-helical elements and three loops (D, anti-codon, and T loops). Further hydrogen bonds mediate the characteristic L-shaped molecular structure. tRNAs have two regions of fundamental functional importance: the anti-codon, which is responsible for specific mRNA codon recognition, and the 3' end, to which the tRNAs corresponding amino acid is attached (by aminoacyl-tRNA synthetases). tRNAs cope with the degeneracy of the genetic code in two manners: having more than one tRNA (with a specific anti-codon) for a particular amino acid; and 'wobble' base-pairing, i.e. permitting non-standard base-pairing at the 3rd anti-codon position. The record is from RNAcentral. Lineage: Bacteria; Bacillati; Bacillota; Clostridia; Lachnospirales; Lachnospiraceae.
GCAUCUGUAGCUUAACUGGCAAAGCGUUGGUUUGGUGAUCCAUGAUGCAGGUUCGAGUCCUGCCAGGUGUA